This 521-nucleotide ribosomal RNA is filed under the name uncultured Bacteroidota bacterium. Its description in RNAcentral is "bacterial SSU rRNA". It matches the Rfam family "Bacterial small subunit ribosomal RNA", at positions 889 to 1410 of the family's 1533-position model. Lineage: Bacteria; Pseudomonadati; Bacteroidota. The record is from RNAcentral.
CAACGGUGAAACUCAAAGGAAUUGACGGGGCCCGCACAAGCGGAGGAACAUGUGGUUUAAUUCGAUGAUACGCGAGGAACCUUACCCGGGCUCAAAACGCAACGCGGACAUUCCGGAAACGGGAUGGCCAGCAAUGGCGCGUUGCGAGGUGCUGCAUGGUUGUCGUCAGCUCGUGCCGUGAGGUGUCGGCUCAAGUGCCAUAACGAGCGCAACCCCCACCGCCAGUUGCCAACAGGUAAAGCUGGGAACUCUGGCGGGACUGCCGGCGCAAGCUGCGAGGAAGGCGGGGACGACGUCAAAUCAGCACGGCCCUUACGUCCGGGGCGACACACGUGUUACAAUGGCGCCCACAGCGGGAAGCCAGGCGGCGACGCCGAGCGGAACCCGAAAAGGCGCCUCAGUUCGGAUUGGAGUCUGCAACCCGACUCCAUGAAGCUGGAUUCGCUAGUAAUCGCGCAUCAGCCAUGGCGCGGUGAAUACGUUCCCGGGCCUUGUACACACCGCCCGUCAAGCCAUGGGAG